AACGAACGCUGGCGGCAUGCCUAACACAUGCAAGUCGAACGAGACCUUCGGGUCUAGUGGCGCACGGGUGCGUAACGCGUGGGAAUCUGCCCUUGGGUUCGGAAUAACAGUUGGAAACGACUGCUAAUACCGGAUGAUGACGUAAGUCCAAAGAUUUAUCGCCCAAGGAUGAGCCCGCGUAGGAUUAGCUAGUUGGUGAGGUAAAGGCUCACCAGGGCGACGAUCCUUAGCUGGUCUGAGAGGAUGAUCAGCCACACUGGGACUGAGACACGGCCCAGACUCCUGCAGGAGGCAGCAGUGGGGAAUAUUGGACAAUGGGCGAAAGCCUGAUCCAGCAAUGCCGCGUGAGUGAUGAAGGCCUUAGGGUUGUAAAGCUCUUUUACCCGGGAUGAUAAUGACAGUACCGGGAGAAUAAGCUCCGGCUAACUCCGUG
This 433-nucleotide ribosomal RNA is filed under the name uncultured bacterium. Its description in RNAcentral is "partial 16S ribosomal RNA". It matches the Rfam family "Bacterial small subunit ribosomal RNA", at positions 29 to 507 of the family's 1533-position model. The record is from RNAcentral.